Daktulosphaira vitifoliae (grape phylloxera) is the source of this 333-nucleotide long non-coding RNA. RefSeq lists it as uncharacterized. The record is from RefSeq and is a predicted model, not a curated record. NCBI's taxonomy places the organism in Eukaryota, Metazoa, Arthropoda, Insecta, Hemiptera, Phylloxeridae. The transcript has 3 exons.
AAUUUCAUAUAAUGAAAAAGAGUGUUCUAUUUGUGGAGAAACAGAUAGAAAAUUCGUGACUUUAAUUCCUUGUUUACAUAAAGUUUGUAAUCUUUGCGCAAACAAUUUAAUGUUAAAUGAAAUUUUAUCUUGUCCAUUCUGCAAAUUUGAACUGCUUCAAUAUCAAAAUAUGGACUUUAUAAAAAGAUGUAUAUGUAGAAAAGAGUUACAAGAAGUAACCGUGCACCCUUGUAAACAUAAAGUUGGAGUUAAUUGUGCUGAGAAAAGUUGGGAAAAAGCAUUUAUCGCACCCAAAUGCCCAGAAUGUGACGAAUACAUUAAAUAUUUUGAUAU